UCGCUAUAGAAUUCAAUUCUGUACCUGC
Molecule: small RNA, 28 nt
Filed under: Bombyx mori (domestic silkworm)
Lineage: Eukaryota; Metazoa; Arthropoda; Insecta; Lepidoptera; Bombycidae
Description: ovarian small RNA-28819
Source: RNAcentral